Molecule: non-coding RNA, 82 nt
Organism: Oleoguttula sp. CCFEE 5521
Lineage: Eukaryota; Fungi; Ascomycota; Dothideomycetes; Mycosphaerellales; Teratosphaeriaceae
Source: the annotation of a GenBank genome assembly
GCUCGCUUAGCUCAGUUGGUAGAGCGCGUCACUAGUAUGUACGUUCAUGACGAGGUCAGAGAUUCGAAUUCUCUAGCGAGCA